Molecule: ribosomal RNA, 253 nt
Filed under: uncultured bacterium
Lineage: Bacteria
Description: partial 16S ribosomal RNA
Rfam family: Bacterial small subunit ribosomal RNA
Source: RNAcentral
UACAGAGGGUGCAAGCGUUGUUCGGAAUUAUUGGGCGUAAAGCGCGUGUAGGCGGCUUUGCAAGUCGGGUGUGAAAGCCCUCGGCUCAACCGAGGAAGUGCGCCCGAAACUGCAGAGCUUGAGUACCGGAGAGGGUGGCGGAAUUCCCCAAGUAGAGGUGAAAUUCGUAGAUAUGGGGAGGAACACCGGUGGCGAAGGCGGCCCCCUGGACCGGUACUGACGCUGAGGCGCGAAAGCGUGGGUAGCAAACGGG